AUCUCAUAUCUUUUUUUUUUUCCUUUGGCUAGGGGCAUUUCUGCUCUCCGAAAACGAUGUCGUGUAAGGCAAUAUAAAACCACUUUAAGAAAUAGGAGAGAGUAUUUUAGGGUUCAUCAUGACGGCGAGACUUAACCAACAAAACUCCUGAGUAGGAAAAAGGGUCGAAUUCUUGCUCUCUGGAGACGGCGUCGUGUUGAGUAUAUUGAACAGCUGGAGAGUAGGAGAGUGUUUUAUCAGAAAGGAGGAUUUUAGGGAAGGAUAUCCAAAUUUGCGACGAGAUUUCCUCAGAAGAACAAGACCGUGUAACAGUGGGUGGCUCUGUCGCCGAGGUUGGAAUGGAGGCAACACAAUUGGAGGAGGAGGUUGAAAUGCAAAGCUUCUGAUGGAAGAGGAAAACACUGAAAUGGAGGCAGAGCAGACUAAGGAGAGUUUUAAGCAGGAGAAUGUUUACCUUGACACAAUUUGAGGAGGAGAAUUCAAGGCUUCUGAAGGAGGAGGCACAUUCUGAACCACUGGAAUGGCAAUUAAUGUAACACAAAUCUGCAGG
This is a long non-coding RNA of Cornus florida, 550 nucleotides long. RefSeq lists it as uncharacterized. NCBI's taxonomy places the organism in Eukaryota, Viridiplantae, Streptophyta, Magnoliopsida, Cornales, Cornaceae. The transcript is spliced from 5 exons. The record is from RefSeq and is a predicted model, not a curated record.